This 492-nucleotide ribosomal RNA is filed under the name uncultured bacterium. RNAcentral's name for it is "partial 16S ribosomal RNA". It matches the Rfam family "Bacterial small subunit ribosomal RNA", at positions 29 to 507 of the family's 1533-position model. The record is from RNAcentral.
AGUGAACGCUGGCGGUAGGCCUAACACAUGCAAGUCGAACGGCAGCACAGUAAGAGCUUGCUCUUACGGGUGGCGAGUGGCGGACGGGUGAGGAAUACAUCGGAAUCUACUUUUUCGUGGGGGAUAACGUAGGGAAACUUACGCUAAUACCGCAUACGACCUACGGGUGAAAGCAGGGGAUCUUCGGACCUUGCGCGAUUGAAUGAGCCGAUGUCGGAUUAGCUAGUUGGCGGGGUAAAGGCCCACCAAGGCGACGAUCCGUAGCUGGUCUGAGAGGAUGGUCGGCCACACUGGAACUGAGACACGGUCCAUACUCCUACGGGAGGCAGCAGUGGGGAAUAUUGGACAAUGGGCGCAAGCCUUAUCCAGCCAUACCGCGUGGGUGAAGAAGGCCUUCGGGUUGUAAAGCCCUUUUGUUGGGAAAGAAAAGCAGCAGGUUAAUACCCCGCUGUUCUGACGGUACCCAAAGAAUAAGCACCGGCUAACUUCGUG